This 1138-nucleotide long non-coding RNA is filed under the name Nicotiana benthamiana. Its description in RNAcentral is "long non-coding RNA (NBEN_LNC006732)". The record is from RNAcentral. Lineage: Eukaryota; Viridiplantae; Streptophyta; Magnoliopsida; Solanales; Solanaceae.
UUGACGAAGAAUCCUAUUCUUCAUUCAAGAACGAAACACAUCGAGAUUAGGCACCAUUUUAUAAGAGAUCACGUUCUUAAAGGUGAUGUCGAAAUUUAGUUCGUUGAAACUAAACACCAAUUAGCCGACAUCCUCACCAAGCCUUUAGAUAAAGAGUCGUUCUUCCGUAUUCGUAGUGAACUCGGAAUCCUUGACUCUACGUUGAUCUAAUGCAUACAUUUAGGUUGCAUUUAUUUUUUUGAAUAAUUACUAACUUGAGCGUCGGAGACGUUUAUUUUUCUUUUGCAGGUAUCGCCCUAAAGGCAGGGGGAACUGAGUUAAUUUUUUAUUUGAGAUCGAGUUUAGUAUAAUCAAUUAUAAAUAAUAGAUUAUAUGUUAUUUCAAUUUUUUUGUGAGAUAAUCGAUUAACUUGGGAAGAUAAUCGAUUAUCAUUACAUUCUGUUUCUCCGACCAUUUCUGAAAUUUUAAAAUAAUCGAUUAACGUAGACCGAUAAUCGAUUAUCGUACCUCUGUAGCUCAUGAUAAUCGAUCGUCGUUCACGAUAAUCGAUUAACUAACGGCCAGAUUUCAAAAUUUUACCGUUUUAGAGCCGUUUGAAUCUUAUCAAAUCAGAUUUUUUUCACUCAAAAACUCUCUUUUUUUUACCUCUAAAAAUAGGGAAGUCUUCCACUCAAUUUAUUCACUCACAACUCUAUUCUAUCCACAACACUCUCAUUUUUCACCUCUAUAAAUAGGGAAGUCUUCCACUCAAUUUAUUCAAUCACAACUCUAUUCUAUUCACAAAACUCUCUCCAAAAGCUUCAAAAAAAAAGUCCUCAAAAUUCUCUUUAACUUCUUGUUAUUAUUCACAUGGCUAAUAGAAAUACCAAGCGAUCUCGUGCCGGAAAGAACGUCGCUUCUUCUUCAAAUGUCCCUCAAGAUGUAUUUUGCUAUCAAGAUGGUUCUUUUCUUAAAUUUGAACAAGAAAGUGAACUUCGACGCUUUCUUCAAAAAUUUGAAAAUAGGGAAAUUCUUCCACCCCGUUUUACAACGGCUAGAUAUCUUUCCGACUCCGCUCAUUCAACUAUUCUUCUUCAAAGCCAAAUUGUCAAUUUUGCUUAUCUUUCAUAUUCUUACAUUCAUCCUCAUUUGAUUCGGG